Molecule: ribosomal RNA, 404 nt
Filed under: uncultured bacterium
Lineage: Bacteria
Description: bacterial SSU rRNA
Rfam family: Bacterial small subunit ribosomal RNA
Source: RNAcentral
AACGAACGCUGGCGGCGCGCUUAACACAUGCAAGUCGAACGAGAAGCCGGAGCAAUCCGGUUGUAAAGUGGCAAACGGGUGAGUAAUGCGUGGGUAAUCUACCCUCGGGUGGGGAAUAACUCUUCGAAAGGAGAGCUAAUGCCGACAUGUGCAGCACUUUCGCAAGGAGGUGUUGGAAAGCCGUACCGUGGGUGCGGCGCCCAAGGAUGAGCUCACGUCCUAUCAGCUUGUUGGCGGGGUAACGGCCCACCAAGGCUGCGACGGGUAGCUGGUCUGAGAGGACGACCAGCCACACUGGCACUGCGACACGGGCCAGACUCCUACGGGAGGCAGCAGUGAGGAAUAUUGCGCAAUGGACGAAAGUCUGACGCAGCGACGCCGCGUGGGGGAUGAAGGCCUCGGUU